CACGUAGGGCGCGAGCGUUGUCCGGAAUUAUUGGGCGUAAAGAGCUCGUAGGCGGCCUGUUGCGUCCGCUGUGAAAGCCCGGGGCUUAACCCCGGGUCGGCAGUGGAUACGGGCAGGCUAGAGGUAGGUAGGGGAGAAUGGAAUUCCUGGUGUAGCGGUGAAAUGCGCAGAUAUCAGGAGGAACACCGGUGGCGAAGGCGGGUCUCUGGGCCGAUACUGACGCUGAGGAGCGAAAGCGUGGGGAGCGAACAGG
Molecule: ribosomal RNA, 253 nt
Filed under: uncultured bacterium
Lineage: Bacteria
Description: partial 16S ribosomal RNA
Rfam family: Bacterial small subunit ribosomal RNA
Source: RNAcentral